GGCGGCUGCCUUACACAUGCAAGUCGAACGGCAGCACGGGUGCUUGCACCUGGUGGCGAGUGGCGAACGGGUGAGUAAUACAUCGGAACAUGUCCUGUAGUGGGGGAUAGCCCGGCGAAAGCCGGAUUAAUACCGCAUACGAUCUACGGAUGAAAGCGGGGGACCUUCGGGCCUCGCGCUAUAGGGUUGGCCGAUGGCUGAUUAGCUAGUUGGUGGGGUAAAGGCCUACCAAGGCGACGAUCAGUAGCUGGUCUGAGAGGACGACCAGCCACACUGGGACUGAGACACGGCCCAGACUCCUACGGGAGGCAGCAGUGGGGAAUUUUGGACAAUGGGCGAAAGCCUGAUCCAGCAAUGCCGCGUGUGUGAAGAAGGCCUUCGGGUUGUAAAGCACUUUUGUCCGGAAAGAAAUCCUUGGCCCUAAUACGGUCGGGGGAUGACGGUACCGGAAGAAUAAGCACCGGCUAACUACGUGCCAGCAGCCGCGRGUAAUACA
This 496-nucleotide ribosomal RNA is filed under the name bacterium SNB-CN41. RNAcentral's name for it is "bacterial SSU rRNA". It matches the Rfam family "Bacterial small subunit ribosomal RNA", at positions 38 to 527 of the family's 1533-position model. The record is from RNAcentral.